RNAcentral lists this long non-coding RNA (2239 nucleotides) under Homo sapiens (human). Its description in RNAcentral is "HSALNT0307815". Lineage: Eukaryota; Metazoa; Chordata; Mammalia; Primates; Hominidae. The record is from RNAcentral.
UGUGCCGCCACACCCAGCCUGAGCAACUUUUGUUUUUAAGGUGUCAGCCAUCAGACCCCAAGUCUCCAGCUGUGUUGAGUUAUCUGCAGGCCCUGAUUGUGUGUGCCAAGGUGCAAAGAAAUAAAUUCUGUCAACAAUCAAGUGACUUUGGAAGAGGUUCCUGAGCCUCAGAUGAGACCCCAGCCUGGCCAACACUUUGAAGCCUUGUGAGAAUGACCAUCCAACUAAGCCUUGCCCUGACUCCUGACCCACGGAAACUGUGCGAUAAUAAAUGUAUAUUGUUUUAAGCUAUGACGUUUGGGAUAAUUUCUUACAUCAUAGACAACUAUUGCAGCCAUUUGUUAUUCUUUUAAAAAUUAAUAUGAACUAUUUCAAAUAUAUAGAAAGUAGUAAAGAAUAGUAUAAAUAGUAUCAUGUAUCCAGUAUGAAGAAAUAGGGUAUUACAAGUAAUGUUGAAAGUUGUUGUAUAGCCUUUUCUAAUUCUGCUUUCCUUAAUUCUUCCUGAGAUGCAACCCACUGUAAUGAAGGUGUUGAUUAGCAUUUAUGUGCAUUUUUAGAACAGAAAUUCGCUAUAUGUAUGUAUGUCUAAAAGCAACAUAUAAUAUCAUUUAUUUCUGUUUGAUUUCUCCUCUAUUAGAAAUAGAUUAAAAUGCUUUCAUUAUCAUUGUUUCCUGUUAAUUUUUUUUGUAUCAUCGUCCAGUUUUACAUUAUGAAUUUUAACAUUUUGUUAGUUGCUGUGACAGAGACAUUUAAUAUUACUGAAUAAGCAUGUGCGUCAUCACAUCUGUCAGCUCCCUAGCAGUUGGGUCAUGCCAUGUGACAAGUUCUGGCCAACUGGUUGGCAGUUGGCAACCAAGGAACUGUAUGUUGAGAUGAUUGAGCCACAAGUUUGAAACUGCCAGGACUUCUGAGUCACCACAUGGAAAACUGCUCGUCUGCAGAGUUAUAAAAUUUGGCUAGGACUUCAUGUGAGUGAGAAAUAAAGCCUUUGUUUGUGAAGCCAGUAUAACUUAUUAUGUAGCAUAGCCUACAAUAUUCUGUCUGAUGUAGAAAAAUACAAGUUCAUGUUAUUUUAUGCUGAUGUUAUUGUGUUCCUUUAAUAAUUUAUCCUUGUUAAACCCUUUGCCUCAUAUUUUACUUGAUAAUUUUUGAUCAUCCCAUUAUUUUCAACCUUCGUUUUAUUUAAGACUUGUAACUAGGCUAUAGCUGGGUGUAUCUUAAAAAUCAAAUCUAAUAGUUUUUUUCUUCUUUUAGGUAUUUUAAUCCAUUUACAUUUUUGGAAUUACUAAUAGAUUUACUUAGACUUGUUUCUGUGGUUUUAUUAUUAUCAAGAUUUUAGUUCCAAUUUUUAAAAAACAACCAUCAUUAGCUGUCAUUUGAUAUUAUAGUCAGUAGUUGGUACAAUUUGUUAGCUUAUUGUUAAAAAAUUGUUUUCUGUAUUUAGUGUUGUUUUAUUCCAGCCCCUUAUUUAAAAGGCUUUUCCCUCUGAGCUCAUCAUUGAUCUGGAUGAGGUGCAUACUCUUUUAACAGUGUUUAUUACAUGUGUAUGCGAAGGUCUGUAGAUAAUACGCUCCAUUAAACUCUUUUGCAUAUGAAAAUGUCUUUAUUUCGCCUUUACCUUUGAAUGAUGUGUAUAGCAUUCAGUUAUUUUUCUAAAAUGUUUUGCUGAUAUUACUUUACAAACUUCUGGUAGCUAUAAUUGCUGUGGAUAAGUCAGCUUUUAGCUGAACUGUCAUUCCUUUGUAGAUAGUCUUUAACUUAUUCUGAGGUUUUUCUUUAUCAGGAAGUUCUGAAAUUUCACUAUAAUACAUCUAUUUUUUAACAUCAUAUUUGAAUUUAAUUUUUGAUCUGGGAGUUUCAGUUUUUAAUUCUUGAAUAUUCUUAAUCAUUGCCUCUUCACCAUUCCUUCCGUUUUUUUUUUUUUUUUUCUGAACCUCUCACUAAACACACCUGAGGUCACUCUCAAAUCUGUUUUUCUUGUUCCUUGUUUGCUCUUUAUUUUCAUUAUCUUUCCAAGUUCUGGGUGAAUUCCCCACUACUAAUUGUCUCUUUGUCUGAGUUUAUUUUUAAGUUUGAUUGCAUUUUUUAUUUCAAUGACUAUAUUUCAACUUUGAAAGCAUUUAAUUAAUUCUUUUUCAUAUCUAUUUGGUUGUUUCAGCUGUAUCUUAUUUUGUUUUAUAAUUUGUUAUUUUUGUAUGAGAUUAUUUCUGUGUUAAUCUCUGUGAAUGCAUUGUUUCAC